UUUUUUUCAGCAUACCAAGGAAAGACUUCCAUCAGUACCGUUGGCACAUCCACCUCUGCAUACAGGUUGAGUCUGGCCACCAUGUCCCGCUCAAACACCGGUACAGGAACUGUCUGGGAGCAAGAGAGCCAACCCUCACGCCAGCCCUCACAGGACACACUCAGUCGGUGUACCGAUGAGGAAGAGGAGGAAAAUGACUCCAUCAGUAUCCCCAGCGUGGUAAGUGAGCACGAAGCUUUCCUCCCCAGACUUAUUUCCCAGCGGCGUUUCUCCAGUCACAUCACGGUGUCAGCUGCCACUCAGCCUGAACCAGGCAUUAGCACCAUGCUGCCCAGUCACAGGUAAACAAACACCCUUCUUCAAAACUAAAGCUCAUUCAGACCGAAAACUGUCUAUAACAACCUUAUUUAUCCAAUCUUACCAUAUCUUUCCCUUUAAGAGAGGGCUGAUCUACAGCUGGGGGGUUGCAUGUCUCUCUUAUUAUUCCCCUAAUCUUGUUCCCUGCCCAACUCUACAGUGAACCCAAUGUGCUAGAUGAAUCCCAGGGGCUUCUGGAGGAGGGUAACCUGUCUAGGGUUGCUAGCGUGCAAAGUGAACCAGGACAGCAGAAUCUGCUCAUCCAGCCACCACUCGGUCGUAAGAGAGGACUUAGGCAGCUACGGCGACCCCUGCUGUCUAUACAGAGGGUGCAGGACGAGUCUCGUGGACGUCAGGGAGCCAGACUCUCAACAACCCGCAGGAACAUUCAGCCUAAGAGUAAACCACUCGACAGGGGUUUGUGUUGUUUGUGUAACUAUAUUAAAAAAAGAAAUGAAUAUCAGUGACGCCUGUGUGCAGAAGAUUUAACAUUAAACAUGAACCUUAUAAUAUAUAUAUAUAUGUGUGUGUGUGUGUGUGUGUGUGUGUGUGUGUC
This 913-nucleotide long non-coding RNA is filed under the name Sinocyclocheilus grahami. Its description in RNAcentral is "lncRNA (ENSSGRG00000041995.1)". Lineage: Eukaryota; Metazoa; Chordata; Actinopteri; Cypriniformes; Cyprinidae. The record is from RNAcentral.